RNAcentral lists this ribosomal RNA (1332 nucleotides) under uncultured bacterium. RNAcentral describes it as "bacterial SSU rRNA". It matches the Rfam family "Bacterial small subunit ribosomal RNA", at positions 28 to 1381 of the family's 1533-position model. The record is from RNAcentral.
GACGAACGCUGGCGGCGCGCCUAACACAUGCAAGUCGAACGAGCGAGAGAGAGCUUGCUUUCUCGAGCGAGUGGCGAACGGGUGAGUAACGCGUGAGGAACCUGCCUCAAAGAGGGGGACAACAGUUGGAAACGACUGCUAAUACCGCAUAAGCCCACGGGUCGGCAUCGACCAGAGGGAAAAGGAGCAAUCCGCUUUGAGAUGGCCUCGCGUCCGAUUAGCUAGUUGGUGAGGUAACGGCCCACCAAGGCAACGAUCGGUAGCCGGACUGAGAGGUUGAACGGCCACAUUGGGACUGAGACACGGCCCAGACUCCUACGGGAGGCAGCAGUGGGGAAUAUUGCACAAUGGGGGAAACCCUGAUGCAGCGACGCCGCGUGGAGGAAGAAGGUCUUCGGAUUGUAAACUCCUGUUGUUGGGGAAGAUAAUGACGGUACCCAACAAGGAAGUGACGGCUAACUACGUGCCAGCAGCCGCGGUAAAACGUAGGUCACAAGCGUUGUCCGGAAUUACUGGGUGUAAAGGGAGCGCAGGCGGGAAGACAAGUUGGAAGUGAAAUCUAUGGGCUCAACCCAUAAACUGCUUUCAAAACUGUUUUUCUUGAGUAGUGCAGAGGUAGGCGGAAUUCCCGGUGUAGCGGUGGAAUGCGUAGAUAUCGGGAGGAACACCAGUGGCGAAGGCGGCCUACUGGGCACCAACUGACGCUGAGGCUCGAAAGUGUGGGUAGCGAACAGGAUUAGAUACCCUGGUAGUCCACACCGUAAACGAUGAUUACUAGGUGUUGGAGGAUUGACCCCUUCAGUGCCGCAGUUAACACAAUAAGUAAUCCACCUGGGGAGUACGACCGCAAGGUUGAAACUCAAAGGAAUUGACGGGGGCCCGCACAAGCAGUGGAGUAUGUGGUUUAAUUCGACGCAACGCGAAGAACCUUACCAAGUCUUGACAUCCCUUGACAGACAUAGAAAUAUGUAUUCUCUUCGGAGCAAGGAGACAGGUGGUGCAUGGUUGUCGUCAGCUCGUGUCGUGAGAUGUUGGGUUAAGUCCCGCAACGAGCGCAACCCUUAUGGUCAGUUACUACGCAAGAGGACUCUGGCCAGACUGCCGUUGACAAAACGGAGGAAGGUGGGGAUGACGUCAAAUCAUCAUGCCCUUUAUGACUUGGGCUACACACGUACUACAAUGGCGUUAAACAAAGAGAAGCAAGACCGCGAGGUGGAGCAAAACUCAGAAACAACGUCCCAGUUCGGACUGCAGGCUGCAACUCGCCUGCACGAAGUCGGAAUUGCUAGUAAUCGUGGAUCAGCAUGCCACGGUGAAUACGUUCCCGGGCCU